RNAcentral lists this ribosomal RNA (253 nucleotides) under uncultured bacterium. Its description in RNAcentral is "partial 16S ribosomal RNA". It matches the Rfam family "Bacterial small subunit ribosomal RNA", at positions 524 to 776 of the family's 1533-position model. The record is from RNAcentral.
UACGUAGGGGGCAAGCGUUGUCCGGAAUCAUUGGGCGUAAAGCGCGUGUAGGCGGCCCGAUAAGUCCGCUGUGAAAGUCCAGGGCUCAACCCUGGAAUGCCGGUGGAUACUGUCGGGCUCGAGUCCGGAAGAGGCGAGUGGAAUUCCUCGUGUAGCGGUGAAAUGCGCAGAUAUCAGGAGGAACACCGAUGGCGAAGGCAGCUCGCUGGGACGGUACUGACGCUGAGACGCGAAAGCGUGGGGAGCAAACAGG